UUAGUUAGUUGGUGAGGUAACGGCUCACCAAGACUGCGAUGGGUAGCCGGCCUGAGAGGGUGAACGGCCACACUGGAACUGAGACACGGUCCAGACUCCUACGGGAGGCAGCAGUGGGGAAUAUUGCACAAUGGAGGAAACUCUGAUGCAGCGACGCCGCGUGAACGAUGAAGGCUUUCGGGUCGUAAAGUUCUGUCCUAGGGGACGAUAAUGACGGUACCCUAGGAGGAAGCCCCGGCUAACUACGUGCCAGCAGCCGCGGUAAUACGUAGGGGGCGAGCGUUGUCCGGAUUUAUUGGGCGUAAAGGGUUCGCAGGCGGUCUCUUAAGUUAGAUGUGAAAGAUCACGGCUCAACCGUGGUAAGCAUUUAAAACUGGGAGACUUGAGUUAAGGAGAGGAAAGUGGAAUUCCUAGUGUAGCGGUGAAAUGCGUAGAUAUUAGGAGGAAUACCAGUGGCGAAGGCGACUUUCUGGACUUAUACUGACGCUGAGGAACGAAAGCGUGGGGAGCAAACAGGAUUAGAUACCCUGGUAGUCCACGCCGUAAACGAUGAGUGCUAGGUGUCGGGUGUCAAAGCUCGGUGCCGCAGCUAACG
RNAcentral lists this ribosomal RNA (595 nucleotides) under uncultured bacterium. RNAcentral describes it as "bacterial SSU rRNA". It matches the Rfam family "Bacterial small subunit ribosomal RNA", at positions 241 to 857 of the family's 1533-position model. The record is from RNAcentral.